RNAcentral lists this ribosomal RNA (497 nucleotides) under uncultured bacterium. RNAcentral's name for it is "partial 16S ribosomal RNA". It matches the Rfam family "Bacterial small subunit ribosomal RNA", at positions 28 to 507 of the family's 1533-position model. The record is from RNAcentral.
GAUGAACGCUGGCGGCGUGCCUAAUACAUGCAAGUCGAGCGAACAGAUGAGGAGCUUGCUCCUCUGACGUUAGCGGCGGACGGGUGAGUAACACGUGGAUAACCUACCUAUAAGACUGGGAUAACGUCGGGAAACCGGAGCUAAUACCGGAUAAUAUAUUGAACCGCAUGGUUCAAUAGUGAAAGACGGUUUUGCUGUCACUGAGAGAUGGAUCCGCGCCGCAUUAGCUAGUUGGUAAGGUAACGGCUUACCAAGGCAACGAUGCGUAGCCGACCUGAGAGGGUGAUCGGCCACCCUGCAACUGAGACACGGUCCAGACUCCUACGGGAGGCUGCAGUAGGGAAUCUUCCGCACUGGGCGAAAGCCUGACGGAGCAACGCCGCGUGAGUGCUGACGGUCUUCGGAUCGUAAAUCUCUGUUCUUAGGGAAGAACAAAUGUGUCAGUAACUAUGCACGUCUUGACGGUACCUAAUCAGAAAGCCACGGCUAACUACGUG